CCUACGGGCGGCAGCAGUGGGGAAUAUUGCACAAUGGGGGAAACCCUGAUGCAGCGACGCCGCGCGAGUGAAGAAGUAUUUCGGUAUGUAAAGCUCUAUCAGCAGGAACGAGACAAGACGGUACCUGACUAAGAAGCCCCGGCUAACUACGUGCCAGCAGCCGCGGUAAUACGUAGGGGGCAAGCGUUAUCCGGAAUCACUGGGUGUAAAGGGAGCGUAGACGGCUGAGCAAGCCUGAAGUGAAAGGCGGGGGCCCAACCCCCGGACUGCUUUGGGAACUGUACGGCUGGAGUACAGUUGAGGUAGGCGGAAUUCGUGGUGUAGCGGUGAAAUGCUUAGAUAUCACGAAGAACUCCGAUUGCGAAGGCAGCCUACUAAACUGCCACUGACAUUGAUGCUCGAAAGUGUGGGUAUCAAACAGGAUUAGAUACCCGGGUAGUC
This 441-nucleotide ribosomal RNA is filed under the name uncultured bacterium. RNAcentral's name for it is "partial 16S ribosomal RNA". It matches the Rfam family "Bacterial small subunit ribosomal RNA", at positions 338 to 795 of the family's 1533-position model. The record is from RNAcentral.